ACCAGGGCUGAUGCUGUGCCUGCCUGGCCCGGCCCCGCCGGCGAAGCCUCUCCGGGGUGAGGAUCAGCAGCUGGACUGACAAACGAGUGCGAGAGGGGAGGGUAGGUGGAGAAAUCCCCUGGUGAAGUGUGGCUGAUCUUCCUUUUAGAAGAUGCUCAGCCACAAUGGUACAUCCACCUGGGCUCACUGUUUAUUGUAUUUUACAGCUCAUUGGAAGACGCAUGUUGGCAGCCCAGGAAAAAAAAAAAGAGCUAUUUCUACUCACUUGAAGAAGUGGCAGUCCUAAUACCACAAAUCUGCACAUUUCUGUAAGAGUCAAAAAUGGAAACCAGAUCUGUAACUGAAAGCUGUAAUUAUCAAGGCUAACCUUUCCUGACUGAGAAAUGCAGAAUUAAAAAAAAUAAAAAUUCAAUUUAAGAAAAAACAUUCAAAAGCUUAAAUAAUUGAAAGCAAGCAAAA
Cyanistes caeruleus (blue tit) is the source of this 459-nucleotide long non-coding RNA. RefSeq lists it as uncharacterized. The record is from RefSeq and is a predicted model, not a curated record. Lineage: Eukaryota; Metazoa; Chordata; Aves; Passeriformes; Paridae.